RNAcentral lists this ribosomal RNA (465 nucleotides) under Vreelandella stevensii. RNAcentral describes it as "partial 16S ribosomal RNA". It matches the Rfam family "Bacterial small subunit ribosomal RNA", at positions 338 to 795 of the family's 1533-position model. The record is from RNAcentral. Lineage: Bacteria; Pseudomonadati; Pseudomonadota; Gammaproteobacteria; Oceanospirillales; Halomonadaceae.
CCUACGGGUGGCUGCAGUGGGGAAUAUUGGACAAUGGUGGGAACCCUGAUCCAGCCAUGCCGCGUGUGUGAAGAAGGCCCUCGGGUUGUAAAGCACUUUCAGUGAGGAAGAACGCCUGGUGGUUAAUACCCAUCAGGAAAGACAUCACUCACAGAAGAAGCACCGGCUAACUCCGUGCCAGCAGCCGCGGUAAUACGGAGGGUGCGAGCGUUAAUCGGAAUUACUGGGCGUAAAGCGCGCGUAGGUGGCUUGAUAAGCCGGUUGUGAAAGCCCCGGGCUCAACCUGGGAACGGCAUCCGGAACUGUCAAGCUAGAGUGCAGGAGAGGAAGGUAGAAUUCCCGGUGUAGCGGUGAAAUGCGUAGAGAUCGGGAGGAAUACCAGUGGCGAAGGCGGCCUUCUGGACUGACACUGACACUGAGGUGCGAAAGCGUGGGUAGCAAACAGGAUUAGAUACCCCUGUAGUC